GGCAUUAAGUUCUAAAGCAGAGAUACCCACCGUGUGUGUGUGUGUGUAUAAAAUAAUUAAGGAUGGCAGCCACAACCACAUGACUGAAGAUCUGCACAAGUGACAUGCAUAGAAAAUGAGCCAGAUUUCCAGUUGGAUUGAAAACUAACUUGGAGAACUACUUUCUAAUAACUGCAAUGCAAAGCGUAACAAGGAGCCUGAUCCAGAAAUACUUCUUCAUUCUGAGAAUCGGAUGCAGUUCUGUCUCUUGUAUCACUUGAUGCAAAUGGAAACCAAACAAAAGGGGAAGAGGAAGAGCCUUUUCUUAUACUUGGCAAGUUCUUGACAAUCAGAAAAAAAAAAAAAUUGGAACAUAUAUAGGAAACUUUGACCCCCUGAAAUACUUCCAGGAAAUAAUACAUAAAAGAUAUGCAAGAGAAAUCAAGUGUGAAUACAUUACAGAGAAAUCUCAUUUGUUGCACAGCGGAAGAGAGAACAACAAUACCACUCAUUUAAAUAGAGUUGAAAUCAGAUGCAUGGAAGUUUUUGAGAUAAGACCGUGAUGUGAUGGGGCAGACAGAAAGAGAAGGUUAACUUCAGAAAGAAACUGAAGACCUGGUUUUGUUAUUGUGCAUGGAGUGGAGAUGGGAAUGGUCAGUUUUGGGAAUGGCUGGUUCCCUAGUCCUACCUGACCAAUAUUAUCUGGUCACAGGC
Python bivittatus (Burmese python) is the source of this 693-nucleotide long non-coding RNA. RefSeq lists it as uncharacterized. The record is from RefSeq and is a predicted model, not a curated record. NCBI's taxonomy places the organism in Eukaryota, Metazoa, Chordata, Lepidosauria, Squamata, Pythonidae.